RNAcentral lists this ribosomal RNA (541 nucleotides) under Pediococcus acidilactici. RNAcentral describes it as "bacterial SSU rRNA". It matches the Rfam family "Bacterial small subunit ribosomal RNA", at positions 49 to 582 of the family's 1533-position model. Lineage: Bacteria; Bacillati; Bacillota; Bacilli; Lactobacillales; Lactobacillaceae. The record is from RNAcentral.
UAUGACGUGCUUGCACUGAAUGAGAUUUUAACACGAAGUGAGUGGCGGACGGGUGAGUAACACGUGGGUAACCUGCCCAGAAGCAGGGGAUAACACCUGGAAACAGAUGCUAAUACCGUAUAACAGAGAAAACCGCCUGGUUUUCUUUUAAAAGAUGGCUCUGCUAUCACUUCUGGAUGGACCCGCGGCGCAUUAGCUAGUUGGUGAGGUAACGGCUCACCAAGGCGAUGAUGCGUAGCCGACCUGAGAGGGUAAUCGGCCACAUUGGGACUGAGACACGGCCCAGACUCCUACGGGAGGCAGCAGUAGGGAAUCUUCCACAAUGGACGCAAGUCUGAUGGAGCAACGCCGCGUGAGUGAAGAAGGGUUUCGGCUCGUAAAGCUCUGUUGUUAAAGAAGAACGUGGGUGAGAGUAACUGUUCACCCAGUGACGGUAUUUAACCAGAAAGCCACGGCUAACUACGUGCCAGCAGCCGCGGUAAUACGUAGGUGGCAAGCGUUAUCCGGAUUUAUUGGGCGUAAAGCGAGCGCAGGCGGUCUU